RNAcentral lists this unclassified non-coding RNA (203 nucleotides) under Hevea brasiliensis (rubber tree). Lineage: Eukaryota; Viridiplantae; Streptophyta; Magnoliopsida; Malpighiales; Euphorbiaceae. The record is from RNAcentral.
GAAAAAAAAAAAAUAAAACUUAACAAGACAAGAGCAAUCAUGACGUCAUCGACCCAAAGGUUGCAUUAACGGUGCAACUUCGCAAACUACUUGGAAAGGUUCAGAAAGAGAUUAUUUGAAUCAGUGGACACUGUGAAAUGCUUUAGGUAGCCUGCGAACCCCAUUUUGAAAGAUCGGCUAGGGGUGAUCUACAGCAUUCAAGG